RNAcentral lists this ribosomal RNA (526 nucleotides) under Bombus polaris. RNAcentral's name for it is "partial 16S ribosomal RNA". The stretch from base 374 to 526 matches the Rfam family "Bacterial large subunit ribosomal RNA", at positions 2473 to 2626 of the family's 2925-position model. The record is from RNAcentral. Lineage: Eukaryota; Metazoa; Arthropoda; Insecta; Hymenoptera; Apidae.
GGCUUAUUGAAUUAUAAUUUUAAGUCAAUCUGCCCAAUGAUGUAAUUUAAUGGCUGCAGUAUAACUGACUGUACAAAGGUAGCAUAAUCAAUUGUUUUUUAAUUAAAAACUGGUAUGAAAGAAUUAAUGAGAUAUAUACUGUCUCAUAUAUAUUCAAUAAACUUAAAUUUUUAGUAAAAAUGCUUAAAUUUUUUUAUGGGACGAUAAGACCCUAUAGAAUUUUAUAUUAAUAUUUCAAUUAUAAUUAAUUUUUAAUAUUAAUAUUUUAUUGGGAGGAUAGGUAAAUUUAUUAAACUUUAUUUUAAACUAAAACUUUAAUUCAAGAAUAUUUUUUGAUCUUAUAAUAAAAAUUAAAAGAAUAAAUUACCUUAGGGAUAACAGCGUAAUAUCUUUUUAAAGAUCAUAUUGAUAAAGAUGAUUGCGACCUCGAUGUUGAAUUAAGAUAAAUUUUAAAUGGAGAAAUUUAAUAAUUAAGUCUGUUCGACUUUUAAAAUCUUACAUGAUUUGAGUUCAAAUCGACGUAAGU